AUUGAACGCUGGCGGCAUGCUUUACACAUGCAAGUCGAACGGUAUCAGGCCGCAAGGUGCUGACGAGUGGCUAACGGGUGCGUAAUGCAUCGGAACGUGCCCAGUCGUGGGGGUUAACUACUCGAAAGAGUAGCUAAUACCGCAUACGAUCUCUGGCUGAAAGCGGGGGACCGUAAGGCCUCGCGCGAUUGGAGCGGCCGAUGUCAGAUUAGGUAGUUGGUGGGGUAAAGGCUCACCAAGCCAACGAUCUGUAGCUGGUCUGAGAGGACGACCAGCCACACUGGGACUGAGACACGGCCCAGACUCCUACGGGAGGCAGCAGUGGGGAAUAUUGGACAAUGGGCGCAAGCCUGAUCCAGCAAUGCCGCGUGCAGGAAGAAGGCCUUCGGGUUGUAAACUGCUUUUGUACGGAACGAAACGGCUCUGGUUAAUACCCGGGGCUAAUGACGGUACCGAAAGAAUAAGCACCGGCUAACUACGUG
This 482-nucleotide ribosomal RNA is filed under the name uncultured bacterium. Its description in RNAcentral is "partial 16S ribosomal RNA". It matches the Rfam family "Bacterial small subunit ribosomal RNA", at positions 30 to 507 of the family's 1533-position model. The record is from RNAcentral.